CACACGACCGUACCGCAAACCGACACUGGUGCGCGAGAUGAGUAUUCUAAGGCGCUUGAGAGAACUCAGGAGAAGGAACUCGGCAAAUUGACACCGUAACUUCGGAAGAAGGUGUGCCUUUAGUAGGUGAACCAUUUACUUGGGGAGCCCAAUGAGGCUGCAAAAAAUCGGUGGCUGCAACUGUUUAUUAAAAACACAGCACUCUGCUAAGACGAAAGUCGACGUAUAGGGUGUGACGCCUGCCCGGUGCUAAGAUUAAAUGAUGGGGUGCAAGCUCUUGAUUGAAGUCCCAGUAAACGGCGGCCGUAACAAUAACGGUCCUAAGGUAGCGAAAUUCCUUGUCGGGUAAGUUCCGACCUGCACGAAUGGCGUAAUGAUGGCCACACUGUCUCCUCCUGAGACUCAGCGAAGUUGAAAUGUUUGUGAUGAUGCAAUCUCCCCGCGGAAAGACGGGAAGACCCCAUGAACCUUUACUGUAGCUUUGUAUUGGACUUUGAACAGAUCUGUGUAGGAUAGGUGGGAGGCUUUGAAGUGUGGUCGCUAGAUCGCAUGGAGCCAACGUUGAAAUACCACCCUGGUGUGUUUGAGGUUCUAACCUAGGUCCAUUAUCUGGAUCGGGGACAGUGCAUGGUAGGCAGUUUGACUGGGGCGGUCUCCUCCCAAAGUGUAACGGAGGACUUCGAAGGUACGCUAGGUACGGUCGGAUAUCGUGCUAAUAGUGCAAUGGCAUAAGCGUGCUUAACUGCGAGACUGACAAGUCGAGCAGAUGCGAAAGCAGGACAUAGUGAUCCGGUGGUUCUGUAUGGAAGGGCCAUCGCUCAACGGAUAAAAGGUACUCUGGGGAUAACAGGCUGAUACCGCCCAAGAGUUCAUAUCGACGGCGGUGUUUGGCACCUCGAUGUCGGCUCAUCUCAUCCUGGGGCUGUAGCCGGUCCCAAGGGUAUGGCUGUUCGCCAUUUAAAGAGGUACGUGAGCUGGGUUUAAAACGUCGUGAGACAGUUUGGUCCCUAUCUUCCGUGGGCGCUGCAGAUUUGAGGAAGCCUGCUCCUAGUACGAGAGGACCGGAGUGGACGAACCUCUGGUGUAUCGGUUGUCACGCCAGUGGCAUUGCCGAGUAGCUAAGUUCGGAAGAGAUAACCGCUGAAAGCAUCUAAGCGGGAAACUCGUUUCAAGAUUAGAUCUGCCGGGGCCUUGAGCCCCCUAAAGAGUCGUUCAAGACCAGGACGUUGAUAGGUCAGGUGUGGAAGU
RNAcentral lists this ribosomal RNA (1248 nucleotides) under metagenome. RNAcentral describes it as "bacterial LSU rRNA". It matches the Rfam family "Bacterial large subunit ribosomal RNA", at positions 1635 to 2874 of the family's 2925-position model. The record is from RNAcentral.